This 73-nucleotide transfer RNA is filed under the name Felis catus (domestic cat). It matches the Rfam family "tRNA". Rfam says of the family: Transfer RNA (tRNA) molecules are approximately 80 nucleotides in length. The record is from Rfam by way of RNAcentral. Lineage: Eukaryota; Metazoa; Chordata; Mammalia; Carnivora; Felidae.
GCCUGGCUGGCUCAUUUGGUGGAGCAUGAGACUCUUGAUCUCAGGGUCGUGAGUUUGAGCCCUGCGUUGGGAG